RNAcentral lists this ribosomal RNA (253 nucleotides) under uncultured bacterium. Its description in RNAcentral is "partial 16S ribosomal RNA". It matches the Rfam family "Bacterial small subunit ribosomal RNA", at positions 524 to 776 of the family's 1533-position model. The record is from RNAcentral.
UACGUAGGGUGCAAGCGUUAAUCGGAAUUACUGGGCGUAAAGCGCGUGUAGGCGGUCCGGUAAGUCCGCUGUGAAAGUCGAGGGCUCAACCCUCGAAUGCCGGUGGAUACUGUCGGGCUUGAGUACGGGAGAGGCGAGUGGAAUUCCUGGUGUAGCGGUGAAAUGCGCAGAUAUCAGGAGGAACACCGAUUGCGAAGGCAGCUCGCUGGAACGUUACUGACGCUGAGACGCGAAAGCGUGGGGAGCAAACAGG